RNAcentral lists this ribosomal RNA (323 nucleotides) under Alternaria botrytis. RNAcentral describes it as "SSU rRNA". It matches the Rfam family "Eukaryotic small subunit ribosomal RNA", at positions 883 to 1204 of the family's 1831-position model. The record is from RNAcentral. Lineage: Eukaryota; Fungi; Ascomycota; Dothideomycetes; Pleosporales; Pleosporaceae.
CGGGGGCAUCAGUAUUCCGUUGUCAGAGGUGAAAUUCUUGGAUUUACGGAAGACUAACUACUGCGAAAGCAUUUGCCAAGGAUGUUUUCAUUAAUCAGUGAACGAAAGUUAGGGGAUCGAAGACGAUCAGAUACCGUCGUAGUCUUAACCGUAAACUAUGCCGACUAGGGAUCGGGCGAUGUUCUUUUUCUGACUCGCUCGGCACCUUACGAGAAAUCAAAGUUUUUGGGUUCUGGGGGGAUUAUGGUCGCAAGGCUGAAACUUAAAGAAAUUGACGGAAGGUCACCACCAGGCGUGGAGCCUGCGGCUUAAUUUGACUCAAC